AAAUUGAAGAGUUUGAUCAUGGCUCAGAUUGAACGCUGGCGGCAGGCCUAACACAUGCAAGUCGAACGGUAGCACAGAGAGCUUGCUCUCGGGUGACGAGUGGCGGACGGGUGAGUAAUGUCUGGGAAACUGCCUGAUGGAGGGGGAUAACUACUGGAAACGGUGGCUAAUACCGCAUAAUG
Molecule: ribosomal RNA, 182 nt
Filed under: Salmonella enterica subsp. enterica serovar Uganda
Lineage: Bacteria; Pseudomonadati; Pseudomonadota; Gammaproteobacteria; Enterobacterales; Enterobacteriaceae
Description: partial 16S ribosomal RNA
Rfam family: Bacterial small subunit ribosomal RNA
Source: RNAcentral